CAGUNAAAAAGUCGUAACAAGGUUUCCGUAGGUGAACCUGCGGAAGGAUCAUUA
This 54-nucleotide ribosomal RNA is filed under the name Cyanosporus subcaesius. Its description in RNAcentral is "Postia subcaesia partial 18S ribosomal RNA". It matches the Rfam family "Eukaryotic small subunit ribosomal RNA", at positions 1778 to 1831 of the family's 1831-position model. The record is from RNAcentral. Lineage: Eukaryota; Fungi; Basidiomycota; Agaricomycetes; Polyporales; Postiaceae.